UGGUGUUAGUUAGGUUCUAAAAGUGAUCAAAUGUAGGUGGGGGUUGAUAAUUGUCAUACCCGUGAGUGUUAGAAAAAGAAAGAAAGAAAAGGAGAAAUAGUCUAGAGACAUUGCCCAUGGCCUUCUCUGGAUCUUUAUUAUUCAAGACUCCUGGCUAUGUAAAAUGUCUUUGGGCUGAAUUUGGACUCUCUCUCUCUCUCUCUCUCUCUCUCUCUCUCUAGCAAGUGUGGACUUGGUGGUAGAGUUGAAGCACAUUCCUCAAUCUUGAUCCUCUCUAGUUGGAUGCUUAAUUGCAGGAGAAACAAGAAACUACAGAAACAAGGAUGGAGAAUGAAUUAGAGAAGAGCAACAAGCAUAUGAAAAACUCAAUGGAGAUCAAUAUCCCAUCUGGGACCGAGAUGCCCUCACUCACCUCCCCUCCGCCUACUGGCUCGACAGGAUUGGCUAGACAGGGAAGCAUUACAAAGAACAACAACUGCCUCUGCUCUCCUACAAACCAUGCCGGUUCAUUCCGGUGCAGGCUUCACCGUACCCCAACCCCUCCUGCCUCGACCCUCACUGGACUACUACGUACCAAGAGCAUCGACUCCCCGGCAUCAUCGCUCAAGGACUCGCACUCCAACAAGGCUAAUGACACAAGUGCUCAUGAAACUAGUGCUACUACUUGAAGCACAGUAGAGGCUCCCUAACUCUGAGAUGUGUAUUGAAGUGCUUGUUUUGUUCCUGUGAUUAUGUUGUAAUUACUUCUAUAUAUAUAUAUUUCUAGUUUUCGACAUUGAUGUCUCUUCUUUUUUGUUGGCAUUCAUAGUUUUGUAUCGCUUCCCUAUCACUUCUUGUAGAUUGAAUAAAUUUCUGUAAUGACAUUGUAAUUGCUCCUUC
Molecule: long non-coding RNA, 879 nt
Organism: Rhododendron vialii
Lineage: Eukaryota; Viridiplantae; Streptophyta; Magnoliopsida; Ericales; Ericaceae
Exons: 2
Source: RefSeq, a predicted model, not a curated record